This is a non-coding RNA of Cinara cedri, 811 nucleotides long. NCBI's taxonomy places the organism in Eukaryota, Metazoa, Arthropoda, Insecta, Hemiptera, Aphididae. The record is from the annotation of a GenBank genome assembly.
CGACAUUUUAUUGAAAUCAUAUCAGUGUGUAGGGGGUUGGGGGGGGGUGUGUAAGUCCGCCACUGUUAGCAACCUGAAUUCAAAAUUAGCACCACCUCCCCCCUCCGAAAAAACCCAGUAAGUUUUUUCAUAGUAUCGACAAAAUAUUUUAUCCGUGUAUUUCAUAACAGUUGAUGUACAAAACGAAAUACUCCAGACAGCACACGCGUGUAUGAAAAUAAAUACUUAUAAUAUUAUAAAUUGUGUAUAGAGAAUUUUUAAACGAAAUGCGUUGUUAUGUAUUGCAAGAUUCGCGUACAGGGGAUUGCGGGGGGCACGGAGAGUGGCAUUGUGACCAGCACUUCUAAUGCCCGUGACAAAAUGCAUUGUAUUAAAAUAUCCCAAAGGCCGAACCGGCGAGAGAACAAAAAAAACCCCCCGAAAAAACCGCGGGCAUCCGAUACGCCCGUAAUUUUAGCGGCCCCGAUAUUCGGCGGUCUAGCGGCGACCGCGUGCCGUUUCCCCGUCGUUUCACGAGCGCCCGUCGAUCGUGUUUAAACGCGCGACGUUAUUAUCGACGGUAACGGAAGAGUUUCGGAAAAGUUUGUCCGCGGCGGCGUCGCGGUCGCAAGGCCAACGGCCCCGGGACCACGCGCGCCCCGGUAUAUCUACGCGGCUGUGCGGCAACCGCCGCCGCCGCCGCCGCCGCCGGACAGGUCGUUUAACUCUCGUUUUCACCUGCAGCCGAAACAACGACGACGACGACGACGACGAUAACACAAUUAUUACCAAUAACGUCCCGCCGGCCCGGCAACUCGGCGUACGACGCUCG